Molecule: long non-coding RNA, 663 nt
Organism: Pseudopipra pipra
Lineage: Eukaryota; Metazoa; Chordata; Aves; Passeriformes; Pipridae
Exons: 2
Source: RefSeq, a predicted model, not a curated record
CUGCUCCAAGGGAAGGGGAGGCCUCUGCUCUCCAGCAGAGCAGUGCAUUGUCCCCCUGUGCCGGCUGGGGACAGUUUUUGGCCUCAGAGCUUUGGGCAGUUGGGUGCUGCUGAGGGGGAAAAAAAACCUGAAAACGAUUAAGGGAAGAAAAAUUCGGCAGAGAACAAUUCGGGAAAGUCUUUCCACCUCAGGGUGUUCCGCCCCGUGCCCUCGGAGCUGCAGCAGGUCCCUUGCCAAGAGGUGGCGGGGGAGGGAUGGGGGGGUGGCAGCAGUGACAGUGACAAGCUGGGCAGCUGCAGAGCCCCAGGAGCAGCGGGAUCGCCCUGACGGCGCCAUGAGGGUCUUCCAGAGGGGCUCCCAGCUCCUGGCGGCCGCCCUGCGGACCCCCCGCGCCCCCCGUGCCCAGCUCAGGUCCCACCCCCCCGAGCACCCGCUCUCUGCUGCCGAGCAAGGCAUUGCCUUGGCUGCGAUGUUCGCCUCGUUCCUGCUGCCCACAGCCUGGGUCCUGGCCCACAUAGACCACUACAAGGCCAGGCCGGAGUGAGGAGUGGCAGGAGCAGCCUGUUCCCUGCAGAGAGAAUCCUAAGGGAAGAGCCCCCGGGACGGACCCUCUCUGGGAUGGAACCCCCCAGGCCUGUUCAUUAAAAUUCACUUUUGCAUUCA